This 333-nucleotide ribosomal RNA is filed under the name uncultured Prevotella sp. RNAcentral's name for it is "bacterial SSU rRNA". It matches the Rfam family "Bacterial small subunit ribosomal RNA", at positions 355 to 685 of the family's 1533-position model. Lineage: Bacteria; Pseudomonadati; Bacteroidota; Bacteroidia; Bacteroidales; Prevotellaceae. The record is from RNAcentral.
UGAGGAAUAUUGGUCAAUGGACGGAAGUCUGAACCAGCCAAGUAGCGUGCAGGAAGACGGCCUAUGGGUUGUAAACUGCUUUUAUGUGGGAAUAAAGUGAGGGACGUGUCCCUUUUUGUAGGUACCACAUGAAUAAGGACCGGCUAAUUCCGUGCCAGCAGCCGCGGUAAUACGGAAGGUCCGGGCGUUAUCCGGAUUUAUUGGGGUUUAAAGGGAGCGUAGGCCGUCUUUUAAGCGUGUUGUGAAAUACUGUCGCUCAACGACAGAGGUGCAGCGCGAACUGGGAGACUUGAGUGCGCGGAAUGCAGGCGGAAUUCGUCGUGUAGCGGUGAA